RNAcentral lists this ribosomal RNA (753 nucleotides) under uncultured Pseudomonadota bacterium. Its description in RNAcentral is "bacterial SSU rRNA". It matches the Rfam family "Bacterial small subunit ribosomal RNA", at positions 34 to 776 of the family's 1533-position model. Lineage: Bacteria; Pseudomonadati; Pseudomonadota. The record is from RNAcentral.
CGCUGGCGGCAGGCCUAACACAUGCAAUUCGAACGGUAACAGGAAGCAGCUUGCUGCUUCGCUGACGAGUGGCGGACGGGUGAGUAAUGUCUGGGAAGCUGCCUGAUGGAGGGGGAUAACUACUGGAAACGGUAGCUAAUACCGCAUAAUGUCGCAAGACCAAAGAGGGGGACCUUCGGGCCUCUUGCCAUCGGAUGUGCCCAGAUGGGAUUAGCUUGUUGGUGGGAUAACGGCUCACCAAGGCGACGAUCCCUAGCUGGUCUGAGAGGAUGACCAGCCACACUGGAACUGAGACACGGUCCAGACUCCUACGGGAGGCAGCAGUGGGGAAUAUUGCACAAUGGGCGCAAGCCUGAUGCAGCCAUGCCGCGUGUAUGAAGAAGGCCUUCGGGUUGUAAAGUACUUUCAGCGGGGAGGAAGGGAGUAAAGUUAAUACCUUUGCUCAUUGACGUUACCCGCAGAAGAAGCACCGGCUAACUCCGUGCCAGCAGCCGCGGUAAUACGGAGGGUGCAAGCGUUAAUCGGAAUUACUGGGCGUAAAGCGCACGCAGGCGGUUUGUUAAGUCAGAUGUGAAAUCCCCGGGCUCAACCUGGGAACUGCAUCUGAUACUGGCAAGCUUGAGUCUCGUAGAGGGGGGUAGAAUUCCAGGUGUAGCGGUGAAGUGCGUAGAGAUCUGGAGGAAUACCGGUGGCGAAGGCGGCCCCCUGGACGAAGACUGACGCUCAGGUGCGAAAGCGUGGGGAGCAAACAGG